AUGACAAGUAUUCUUUCCAUGGCUAAUCAUCAUCGUUCUCCAAGUUCUUCCAUCUCAAAAAUUCCUCGACGAUCUUCUUCAUCUCUUCACUCUCCAUUUUGCCAACUCUGUAGCAUAAAAACAUUUCUCACAAAAAACCUCUCUUCCUCAUCCAUCAACCUUCAUCAAUCCAGCCCUAAUGCUAACCAACGACAACUAAACCAUAUUCCGGCCAUCCCUCCUCACGAACGCACCAUAUCAAAUUCCUUUUUUCGGUGA
Vicia faba (fava bean) is the source of this 258-nucleotide non-coding RNA. The record is from the annotation of a GenBank genome assembly. NCBI's taxonomy places the organism in Eukaryota, Viridiplantae, Streptophyta, Magnoliopsida, Fabales, Fabaceae.